Molecule: ribosomal RNA, 253 nt
Filed under: uncultured bacterium
Lineage: Bacteria
Description: partial 16S ribosomal RNA
Rfam family: Bacterial small subunit ribosomal RNA
Source: RNAcentral
UACGGGGGGGGCAAGCGUUGUUCGGAAUUACUGGGCGUAAAGGGUGCGUAGGCGGCUUUCUAAGUUGGAUGUGAAAACUAUGGGCUCAACCCAUAGCCUGCAUCCAAAACUGGAGAGCUUGGGUUCUGGAGGGGAAAGCGGAAUUCCUGGUGUAGCGGUGAAAUGCGUAGAUAUCAGGAGGAACACCGGUGGCGAAGGCGGCUCUCUGGACGGAUACUGACGCUGAGGCGCGAAAGGGUGGGGAUCAAACAGG